AUUGAACGCUGGCGGCAGGCCUAACACAUGCAAGUCGAACGCGUGGCGGCCGGGUGAGUAAUGUCUGGGACCCUGCCCGAUGGAGGGGGAUAACUACUGGAACCGGUAGCUAAUACCGCAUACCAUCGGAUGUGCCCAGAUGGGAUUAGCUAGUAGGUGGGGUAACGGCUCACCUAGGCGACGAUCCCUAGCUGGUCUGAGAGGAUGACCAGCCACACUGGAACUGAGACACGGUCCAGACUCCUACGGGAGGCAGCAGUGGGGAAGAGUGCACAAUGGGCGAAAGCCUGAUGCAGCCAUGCCGCGUGUAUGAAGAAGGCCUUCGGGUUGUAAAGUACUUUCAGCGAGGAGGCGGUACUCGCAGAAGAAGCACCGGCUAACUCCGUGCCAGCAGCCGCGGUAAUUC
RNAcentral lists this ribosomal RNA (406 nucleotides) under uncultured bacterium. RNAcentral's name for it is "partial 16S ribosomal RNA". It matches the Rfam family "Bacterial small subunit ribosomal RNA", at positions 30 to 526 of the family's 1533-position model. The record is from RNAcentral.